CUGCGAAUGGCUCAUUAAAUCAGUUAUCGUUUAUUUGAUAGUACCUUACUACAUGGAUACCUGUGGUAAUUCUAGAGCUAAUACAUGCUAAAAACCCCGACUUCAGGAAGGGGUGUAUUUAUUAGAUAAAAAACCAACGCCCUUCGGGGCUCCUUGGUGAAUCAUAAUAACUUAACGAAUCGCAUGGCCUUGCGCCGGCGAUGGUUCAUUCAAAUUUCUGCCCUAUCAACUUUCGAUGGUAGGAUAGUGGCCUACCAUGGUGGCAACGGGUAACGGGGAAUUAGGGUUCGAUUCCGGAGAGGGAGCCUGAGAAACGGCUACCACAUCCAAGGAAGGCAGCAGGCGCGCAAAUUACCCAAUCCCGAUACGGGGAGGUAGUGACAAUAAAUACUGAUACGGGGCUCUUUUGGGUCUCGUAAUUGGAAUGAGAACAAUUUAAAUCCCUUAACGAGGAACAAUUGGAGGGCAAGUCUGGUGCCAGCAGCCGCGGUAAUUCCAGCUCCAAUAGCGUAUAUUAAAGUUGUUGCAGUUAAAAAGCUCGUAGUUGAACCUUGGGUCUGGCUGGCCGGUCCGCCUCACCGCGAGUACUGGUCCGGCUGGACCUUUCCUUCUGGGGAACCUCAUGGCCUUCACUGGCUGUGGGGGGAACCAGGACUUUUACUGUGAAAAAAUUAGAGUGUUCAAAGCAGGCCUUUGCUCGAAUACAUUAGCAUGGAAUAAUAGAAUAGGACGUGCGGUUCUAUUUUGUUGGUUUCUAGGACCGCCGUAAUGAUUAAUAGGGAUAGUCGGGGGCGUCAGUAUUCAGCUGUCAGAGGUGAAAUUCUUGGAUUUGCUGAAGACUAACUACUGCGAAAGCAUUCGCCAAGGAUGUUUUCAUUAAUCAGGGAACGAAAGUUAGGGGAUCGAAGACGAUCAGAUACCGUCGUAGUCUUAACCAUAAACUAUGCCGACUAGGGAUCGGACGGGAUUCUAUGAUGACCCGUUCGGCACCUUACGAGAAAUCAAAGUUUUUGGGUUCUGGGGGG
Molecule: ribosomal RNA, 1025 nt
Filed under: Penicillium limosum
Lineage: Eukaryota; Fungi; Ascomycota; Eurotiomycetes; Eurotiales; Aspergillaceae
Description: SSU rRNA
Rfam family: Eukaryotic small subunit ribosomal RNA
Source: RNAcentral